RNAcentral lists this ribosomal RNA (253 nucleotides) under uncultured bacterium. RNAcentral describes it as "partial 16S ribosomal RNA". It matches the Rfam family "Bacterial small subunit ribosomal RNA", at positions 524 to 776 of the family's 1533-position model. The record is from RNAcentral.
UACGAAGGGGGCUAGCGUUGCUCGGAAUCACUGGGCGUAAAGCGCACGUAGGCGGCUUUCUAAGUCAGGGGUGAAAUCCUGGAGCUCAACUCCAGAACUGCCUUUGAUACUGGAGAGCUAGAGUCCGGAAGAGGUGAGUGGAACCGCGAGUGUAGAGGUGAAAUUCGUAGAUAUUCGCAAGAACACCAGUGGCGAAGGCGGCUCACUGGUCCGGUACUGACGCUGAGGUGCGAAAGCGUGGGGAGCAAACAGG